This is a long non-coding RNA of Spea bombifrons (plains spadefoot toad), 319 nucleotides long. RefSeq lists it as uncharacterized. The transcript is spliced from 2 exons. NCBI's taxonomy places the organism in Eukaryota, Metazoa, Chordata, Amphibia, Anura, Pelobatidae. The record is from RefSeq and is a predicted model, not a curated record.
AGUUGCCUCGGCUGCGCCCGGGUAUUUCGGGGCUGCAUGAAGGAUUUGGAGAGUCCAGCCUGGGCAGCGGGGAGCCCACACGGAAUCUGACUCUGAUACGGGGAACGCAGGGGGCGGAAUGUUCUGGAUUGGGGGUUCCGCCUGAAUCGUUGAAUGAAGUCCAGUUGGGAUUAAUCGAAAGGGGUCCGUCCUUCAUCGAGGAGCCUCGCUGCCAAUGACGGGGAGCAGGAUGGGCGGCCAAGGCUGGCUUUGCAGAUACCUGCACUGUGAGCGCGAUCCACAGAAUCCAUUAUUGGCCGAGAUCCACAGGCAAAUGAAA